This 414-nucleotide unclassified non-coding RNA is filed under the name Hevea brasiliensis (rubber tree). Lineage: Eukaryota; Viridiplantae; Streptophyta; Magnoliopsida; Malpighiales; Euphorbiaceae. The record is from RNAcentral.
GUGAUGCUGAAUCUUAUCCUGCCUGUGAGAGAGUACUAUAAUGAAUCAGUACUGUAUUUGUACAUCAGUGAGGUUGCUGUCCAGGUAUUGUUUGGAUUGCUCUUGCUGUUUUAUGUUCCUGAUGUGGAUCCUUAUCCCGGGUACUCUCCACUUCGAAGUGACUCUUUCGACAACACUGCAUAUGAAGAACUUCCUGAAGGCGAGCAGAUUUGUCCCGAGAGGCACGCCAACAUACUUUCUCAAAUUCUUUUUUCAUGGAUGAAUCCUCUUAUGCAACUUGGUUAUAAAAGACCAUUAACAGAAAAGGAUGUGUGGAAACUGGAUACUUGGGAUCGGACUGAAACUCUAAACAACUCGUUUCAAAAGAGUUGGGCAGAGGAGUCUCAACGACCUAAACCAUGGCUUUUAAGAGCA